RNAcentral lists this ribosomal RNA (858 nucleotides) under uncultured bacterium. RNAcentral describes it as "SSU rRNA". It matches the Rfam family "Bacterial small subunit ribosomal RNA", at positions 524 to 1381 of the family's 1533-position model. The record is from RNAcentral.
UACGGAGGGUGCGAGCGUUAAUCGGAAUUACUGGGCGUAAAGCGCGCGUAGGCGGUUUGUUAAGUCGGAUGUGAAAGCCCCGGGCUCAACCUGGGAAUUGCAUUCGAUACUGGCCGACUAGAGUACGAGAGAGGGAGGUAGAAUUCCACGUGUAGCGGUGAAAUGCGUAGAUAUGUGGAGGAAUACCGGUGGCGAAGGCGGCCUCCUGGCUCGAUACUGACGCUGAGGUGCGAAAGCGUGGGUAGCAAACAGGAUUAGAUACCCUGGUAGUCCACGCCGUAAACGAUGUCUACUAGCCGUUGGGAGACUUGAUUUCUUAGUGGCGCAGCUAACGCACUAAGUAGACCGCCUGGGGAGUACGGCCGCAAGGUUAAAACUCAAAUGAAUUGACGGGGGCCCGCACAAGCGGUGGAGCAUGUGGUUUAAUUCGAUGCAACGCGAAGAACCUUACCAGGUCUUGACAUCCUCGGAACUUUCCAGAGAUGGAUUGGUGCCUUCGGGAACCGAGAGACAGGUGCUGCAUGGCUGUCGUCAGCUCGUGUCGUGAGAUGUUGGGUUAAGUCCCGUAACGAGCGCAACCCUUGUCCUUAGUUGCCAGCGCGUAAUGGCGGGAACUCUAAGGAGACUGCCGGUGACAAACCGGAGGAAGGUGGGGACGACGUCAAGUCAUCAUGGCCCUUACGACCUGGGCUACACACGUGCUACAAUGGAACGCACAGAGGGUUGCAACCUCGCGAGAGUGAGCCAAUCCCACAAAACGUUUCGUAGUCCGGAUCGGAGUCUGCAACUCGACUCCGUGAAGUCGGAAUCGCUAGUAAUCGCGGAUCAGAAUGCCGCGGUGAAUACGUUCCCGGGCCU